Molecule: ribosomal RNA, 506 nt
Filed under: uncultured bacterium
Lineage: Bacteria
Description: partial 16S ribosomal RNA
Rfam family: Bacterial small subunit ribosomal RNA
Source: RNAcentral
AGUGAACGCUGACGGUAGGCCUAACACAUGCAAGUCGAACGGCAGCACGGGAGAGCUUGCUCUCUGGGUGGCGAGUGGCGGACGGGUGAGGAAUACAUCGGAAUCUACUCUGUCGUGGGGGAUAACGUAGGGAAACUUACGCUAAUACCGCAUACGACCUACGGGUGAAAGCAGGGGACCUUCGGGCCUUGCGCGAUUGACUGAGCCGAUGUCGGAUUAGCUAGUUGGCGGGGCAAAGGCCCACCAAGGCGACGAUCCGUAGCUGGUCUGAGAGGAUGAUCAGCCACACUGGAACUGAGACACGAUCCAGACUCCUACGGGAGGCAGCAGUGGGGAAUAUUGGACAAUGGGCGCAAGCCUGAUCCAGCCAGACCGCGUGGGUGAAGAAGGCCUUCGGGUUGUAAAGCCCUUUUGUUGGGAAAGAAAUCCAGCUGGCUAAUACCCGGUUGGGAUGACGGUACCCAAAGAAUAAGCACCGGCUAACUUCGUGCCAGCCGCCGCGGUAA